Molecule: unclassified non-coding RNA, 331 nt
Filed under: Mollisia sp.
Lineage: Eukaryota; Fungi; Ascomycota; Leotiomycetes; Helotiales; Mollisiaceae
Description: partial internal transcribed spacer region
Rfam family: Eukaryotic small subunit ribosomal RNA (bases 1-46)
Source: RNAcentral
AAGUCGUAACAAGGUUUCCGUAGGUGAACCUGCGGAAGGAUCAUUAAAAAACGAUCACCGGUGUACCCAAGCGACGUCGAUUACUCGACCUUGUGGGGCUGUCCCAAACUCACAGCAUUACCAGUCGCGCGGGAUACUGAUGCCCUAGCCCUCGAGCUAGGGGCCGAGUGAAUCCCACCCGUGUCUACAUACUUUUGUUGCUUUGGCGGGCCGUGGCCUCCACUGUGGGCUCUGCCUGCAUGUGCCCGCCAGAGGAUCAAACUCUGAAUUUUAGUGAUGUCUGAGUACUAUAUAAUAGUUAAAACUUUCAACAACGGAUCUCUUGGUUCUG